This 365-nucleotide long non-coding RNA is filed under the name Gallus gallus (chicken). Lineage: Eukaryota; Metazoa; Chordata; Aves; Galliformes; Phasianidae. The record is from RNAcentral.
UGCAGGAGGGCACUUCUGCUGUCCACUGGGUACCGUUCCCCUUCCAUAUGCAGGUGAUGAUGCCUGGCCCCUCCAGCUGGUGCUCGGCUGCGCACUGGAAGGCGAUGACCGUCCCGACGGCUGUGCCAUUGCCAUGAAUGAUCUGCAGGGUGCCCAGCUGGGGAGGGUGUACGUGGCUGCACUGCCCUGUGUACCCGCGGGGACCGCCGCCGUCCCGCCCGGGCGCAGCGGUGCGCGGCUCGUCCGGCCCCGGCGCAGUGGCUGCCGGCAUGGCUCCUCCGAGCCGCUCCGCUCCGAGCCCAGCCCCGUCGCGCAGCCCGGCAGGUGCAGCCCGCACCGCCUCCGCCCGCCCUCCGCCGCCGGGC